UACAGAGGGCCCAAGCGUUGUUCGGAUUCACUGGGCGUAAAGGGUGCGUAGGUGGCGGGGUAAGUCGGAUGUGAAAGCUCGGAGCUCAACUCCGAAAUGGCAUUGGAAACUACCUUGCUCGAGGGUUGGAGGGGGGACUGGAAUUCUCGGUGUAGCAGUGAAAUGCGUAGAUAUCGAGAGGAACACCAGUGGCGAAGGCGAGUCCCUGGACAACUCCUGACACUGAGGCACGAAAGCUAGGGGAGCAAACAGG
This 253-nucleotide ribosomal RNA is filed under the name uncultured bacterium. RNAcentral describes it as "partial 16S ribosomal RNA". It matches the Rfam family "Bacterial small subunit ribosomal RNA", at positions 524 to 776 of the family's 1533-position model. The record is from RNAcentral.